RNAcentral lists this ribosomal RNA (32 nucleotides) under uncultured Psathyrella. RNAcentral's name for it is "partial 28S ribosomal RNA". The record is from RNAcentral. Lineage: Eukaryota; Fungi; Basidiomycota; Agaricomycetes; Agaricales; Psathyrellaceae.
UUCUAAACCGUCCGUAAGGACAAUCUACUUGA